GAUGAACGCUGGCGGCGUGCCUAAUACAUGCAAGUCGAGCGGUAAGGCUUUCACAGAUUAUUUAACCAGAUAAGUUCUUCGGAAAACUGUUUGCAGCGAUGAUUCCCCGGCUAGGGAAUCAGAGUUGAAUAAUGCGUGAAAGUACACGAGCAGCGGACGGCUGAGUAACACGUAGGAACGUACCCCAAAGUGAGGGAUAAGCACCGGAAACGGUGUCUAAUACCGCAUGUGAUCUUCGGAUUAAAGCUUCGGCGCUUUGGGAACGGCCUGCGCAUGAUUAGCUGUGGUGAGGUAAAAGCUCACCCAAGGCGACAAUCAUUAGCUGGUCUGUAGAGGGUGAUCAGCCAGACUGGACUGAGAACGGCCCAGACUCCUACGGGA
This 381-nucleotide ribosomal RNA is filed under the name uncultured bacterium. RNAcentral describes it as "bacterial SSU rRNA". It matches the Rfam family "Bacterial small subunit ribosomal RNA", at positions 28 to 346 of the family's 1533-position model. The record is from RNAcentral.